GAUGAACGCUGGCGGCGUGCCUAAUACAUGCAAGUCGAGCGAACAGACGAGGAGCUUGCUCCUCUGACGUUAGCGGCGGACGGGUGAGUAACACGUGGAUAACCUACCUAUAAGACUGGGAUAACUUCGGGAAACCGGAGCUAAUACCGGAUAAUAUAUUGAACCGCAUGGUUCAAUAGUGAAAGACGGUUUUGCUGUCACUUAUAGAUGGAUCCGCGCCGCAUUAGCUAGUUGGUAAGGUAACGGCUUACCAAGGCAACGAUGCGUGGCCGACCUGAGAGGGUGAUCGGCCACACUGGAACUUGGACACGGUCCAGACUCCUAAGGGAGGCAGCAGUAGGGAAUCUUCCGGAAUGGGCGAAAGCUUGACGGAGCAACGCCGCGUGAGUGAUGAAGGUCUUCGGAUCGUAAAACUCUGUUAUUAGGGAAGAACAAAUGUGUAAGUAACUAUGCACGUCUUGACGGUACCUAAUCAGAAAGCCACGGCUAACUACGUG
This 497-nucleotide ribosomal RNA is filed under the name uncultured bacterium. Its description in RNAcentral is "partial 16S ribosomal RNA". It matches the Rfam family "Bacterial small subunit ribosomal RNA", at positions 28 to 507 of the family's 1533-position model. The record is from RNAcentral.